Long non-coding RNA from Ruditapes philippinarum (Manila clam), 698 nucleotides. RefSeq lists it as uncharacterized. Lineage: Eukaryota; Metazoa; Mollusca; Bivalvia; Venerida; Veneridae. The transcript has 3 exons. The record is from RefSeq and is a predicted model, not a curated record.
UAGAACUGAUGAGUGCUUUGAUUUUUGGAUUUACCCUGUUGCACAUAACAUUGGACCUGCCCAGGUACACAGUUGUAAGUCUGAAACAUUUAGGUUAGCAAGCUGGUGGAAAUCACAGAGAAUCUACUUGAUGUUUUAGGAAAUUUAGAGAUAUUGUUUUGUUUAAGAUGUUUAAGUAUAGUUAUGGUAAAUAAGAAUGACAAGAAGAAUCACCUUGGACAAGAAGAUAUACAACAAAAUCAGGCUAGUGGGACCAGUUCUUACUUUGAGAUGCCAGGUGAAUAAUGAUAUGCAGUAUUGAGCCUGAAAAGGUGAACACAGCCACAUGAAGUUCUCCGAGGAAACAGAAUCAGAGCACUGAAACAGACAUCAAUAGAAGAAAUAGUAGUUUGAAUAAUCAGAAACAUUUGAUCAAAUUUAUGAUUUGAACAGUUCCUCACCGACAGACUUCCAGCAAAAUAAUUGUAUAAAUAAAGUGUUUGAUUCCAAGAAAACCAGUAAAAAACAAAAACUUGCUGUUACAAAUGAAUAUUGUUUUUGUUAUAGUGAAUGUAAGAUGAUUGAACUGAAGGAUAUGUAUGUUGAAUUUUGUAUUUUGCUCAUUUAUAUGACUAUGAAUAUAAAUUAAUAAACAUUUUUGAAAUUAAAUUACUAAACUUUUAUUUUAUUUCAAGCUUUUUUGACAUCAAGCAACAUAU